This 497-nucleotide ribosomal RNA is filed under the name uncultured bacterium. RNAcentral's name for it is "partial 16S ribosomal RNA". It matches the Rfam family "Bacterial small subunit ribosomal RNA", at positions 28 to 507 of the family's 1533-position model. The record is from RNAcentral.
GAUGAACGCUGGCGGCGUGCCUAAUACAUGCAAGUCGAGCGAACAGACGAGGAGCUUGCUCGUCUGUCGUUAGCGGCAGACGGGUGUGUCACACGUGUAUCACCUACCUAUCAGACUGGGAUAUCUUCGGGAAACCGGCUCUUAUCCCGGAUAACCUCCUGAUCCGCAUGGUUCAAUAGUGAAAUUCGGUCUUUCUGUCUCUUCUAGAUGGUUCCGCGCUGCAUUAGCUAGUUGUUACGGUCACGGCGUACGAAGGCAAGGAUGCGUAGCCGACCGGACAGGGUGAUCGGCGACACGGGAGCUGAGACGCGGUCCAGACGCCUACGGGAGGCAGCAGAAGGGAAUCGUCCGCAAUGGGCGAAAGCCUGACGGAGUAACGCCGCGUGAGUGAAGAAGGUCUUCGGAUCGUAAAACUCUGUUAUUAGUUAAGAACAAAUGUGUAAGUAACUAUGCACGUCUUGACGGUACCUGAUCAGAAAGCCACGGCUAACUACGUG